Molecule: long non-coding RNA, 305 nt
Filed under: Musa acuminata (dwarf banana)
Lineage: Eukaryota; Viridiplantae; Streptophyta; Magnoliopsida; Zingiberales; Musaceae
Description: long non-coding RNA (MACU_LNC006417)
Source: RNAcentral
UAGGCGUUGCUGCCCAUAGUAUAUGAUAGUUCAAACAUUCACUCCUAAAAACAUGUACUAAGUUAACAUGCAUAAUACAAUUUAUGCUCUUCGCUCUCCCCUAGUAAGACAAUUUAAGUACUAAUUUGGAACCCUUCCAUAGGAACGGCCCCUUCGACGACAAGAAGAAAUGCCACCCGCUGAUGAUCUCUUCUGUUUCCCUCGAGAAUUCCGGCCGCCACUAGAUGGCAAAAGCAUGGCUUACAAUGCGUCGUCAAAGAUAGUAGACAGCACAAGCCCCUGCACAAAUUCGCUCCUCUGAGCCC